CCUAUUAUUUUUCCCUCUCUUUUGGUCUCUGUUCUGGCACUCCAUGCUCUUAAUCUCCUCAACGAUCUUUGCCUUAUCCACAAGAACUGAAACUCUCGCUCCCUCUGCGAAGCAAUCAAUACACUCAGUGUAACACCCCUUUACUCGAGACCGUCACUGGAUUCGAGCACGAGGCGUUAACAGACUUAAUUUAUCACUUAAAAAAUUUCAAACAAUUUAUUUCACAUUUCG
Molecule: long non-coding RNA, 231 nt
Filed under: Gossypium barbadense (sea-island cotton)
Lineage: Eukaryota; Viridiplantae; Streptophyta; Magnoliopsida; Malvales; Malvaceae
Description: long non-coding RNA (GBAR_LNC012631)
Source: RNAcentral